This 667-nucleotide long non-coding RNA is filed under the name Mytilus galloprovincialis (Mediterranean mussel). Lineage: Eukaryota; Metazoa; Mollusca; Bivalvia; Mytilida; Mytilidae. The record is from RNAcentral.
CAUUAUCUGAUAGUGAUGCUACAUUGUUAAAUAGGAUAACUUAUGUAUAAAAAAAGAUGUGGUAUGAUUGCCAAUGAGACAACUCUCCACAAAAGACCAAAUUGACAGAAAUUAACAACUAUAGGUCAGCGUACCAGACUUCAACAAUGAGCAAAGCCCAUACCACAUAGUCCGCUAUAACAGGCCCCGAAAUGACAUUGUAAAACAAGAAAACUAACCACCUUAUUUAUAUGAAAAAAAAAACAAAUAUGUAACCCACAAACAAACGACAACCACUGAAUUACAGGCACAUGAAUACAUAACGUGGCAGAUCUCGAUCCUCCACCCUAACCUGGGACAGUGGUAUAUACCUGUAUGUUAUCUUACCAAGAUUUGUUAGACAACAGCCGAAGGCCACCCAAUCUAGCGAAAAUGCUGAACAAAACGGACAACAUGUGUGAUCAACAACUUCUCAAUAACAGGAUCUUGACUUGGGACCAGCAUGGGGGUUUAGAGGGUUUCUUAGGCCCCUCAAGUCCAGCACUUGUAGACUGACAACCCAAAAGACACUCGAGUACUGAUCGCUAGUUCAAAGCUAAUAACAACUAAUAAAAACAUCUUGCAUUUAAGACUCAAUUAAAAUAAAAGCAGUAUAUAGGAGGAGGGUCGAGAUCUCGAAGUUUUGCGC